ACGCAACUGGCGCCGGUUUACCGGCAUGCCUGUUCCAGUGUGCUAGGAGAGUAAACUAUCAUUAUAAAAUAUAAUGCGAUUGAGGUACAUUUAUGUUCUUCUUUCGUUAAAUAUGAAGGAGUGAAAGAUGAGUAAUCUCUCGCACUGGCAAACGAAGUAGUCAUGCUUGUUCGUGAUCUCGUUUAACCAGUGCUAAAGGUUAUUGCUUAGCUAUAAAUCACAACUAAUCAAUUAACUAUCUCCAAAUACGGCAUCUGAAAUCCGACAAAGAUACCCGCUGAUCUUA
Molecule: unclassified non-coding RNA, 286 nt
Filed under: uncultured fungus
Lineage: Eukaryota; Fungi
Description: partial contains 5.8S rRNA and ITS2
Source: RNAcentral